Molecule: transfer RNA, 72 nt
Filed under: Bos taurus (domestic cattle)
Lineage: Eukaryota; Metazoa; Chordata; Mammalia; Artiodactyla; Bovidae
Also listed under: 1 other name
Rfam family: tRNA
About the family: Transfer RNA (tRNA) molecules are approximately 80 nucleotides in length. Their secondary structure includes four short double-helical elements and three loops (D, anti-codon, and T loops).
Source: Rfam by way of RNAcentral
UCCCUGGUGGCUCAGAUGGUAAAGCAUCUGCCUGCAAUGUAGGAGACCCGGGUUCGAUCCCUGGGUUGGGAA